CUCCAAGCCGUUUGGACCGUCGACUUUUAAUUUGUUGGGUCAUUAAAAUUUACUUAAAAUAUUAAUGUGUGUAAUUUUUGUCACCGGUUUGGUUUGUUAGGAUUGCGGAAUGUGUCAAUUAAACGCAAUCAACAACGCACAGAUUUCGUGAAGAUUGGAAGCAAUUCAAAGACAACGGACAACAUACAAAAUCCGAAACAUGUGUUAUGCAAAUGUUUACAUUUUUUCGUUUUGUUUCCACUUUGGCAAUUCCCCGUUUAUUGUGGUUUCGAAUUGGAAUUGGGUUGGUCGCCGCUAAGUGUGAGAACGCGUGAGAGAGUGCAGGGUGCUCCAGUGAGCAAAACGAACGAAUGAACAAGAGCGGGAGGAAGAAUAGCGAACAAGGCUGAAAUCUUAUCAACGCGAGCGAGCGAGAGAGAGAGAGAGCCAAUUUCAAAUACAAAUAUUUCAAUUCCAAUGAAGAUCCCAACUCACAUAUCGGUUUCUGUUGUUAAUAUUCUAUUGUGUGUACGGAAAAAAAAGAAGCCAUUAUUUGGCAAAUUUAAACUUUUUUAUACACAGAUUUUGUAUUUCACGAUGCGAUGUGCUCAAUGCCUCGCCAAACACUGGAGUUUAUCGCCUGUAAACAUGACGAAUAUUUAUUGCUUGAUAACUUGCUUGCACUAGCUACCGCGAUUAAACAUAUGCACGGACCGAAAAACAAAAAUGAUUGCUGAACGACUUACAACAAAACCAAUGCCGGAUAAACACAGCACCACCAAAUGGCUAACGUUAUUACAUCAUUGCCGUUUUUUUUAUGGACCAAAAAAUUUGAUUGAAUCAAAAACUGAAUCUUAACUAAUUUAAACGUAUACGCAAUAUUUCUGUGAACCAUCAGUCAGCCAGCCAGCCAGCCGUACUUUCAAUUUGGAGCGAUAUCUAUGAAUAUCAC
Sitodiplosis mosellana (orange wheat blossom midge) is the source of this 931-nucleotide long non-coding RNA. RefSeq lists it as uncharacterized. The transcript has 5 exons. Lineage: Eukaryota; Metazoa; Arthropoda; Insecta; Diptera; Cecidomyiidae. The record is from RefSeq and is a predicted model, not a curated record.